UGGAGAAAUCUAGCAAGCAUGGCGCUUGACUAGUACUAAAUUUUUUAAAACUUGCUCAAAGGUUACUUAAUGAGUAUUGAUUCUGUUCAAUUUUGAAAGACUAUGUCUUUCAAUGUUCUUUGAAAAUUGCACAUAGAUUAAUGUAUAUAAAAUACAACAAGCCAAGAAUAAAUAUUCUUUGUGAUGAUUAUAUAAAAGUUUUAAUAACGAAACUUAAAUA
RNAcentral lists this unclassified non-coding RNA (220 nucleotides) under uncultured Bacillota bacterium. RNAcentral's name for it is "uncultured Firmicutes bacterium 16S-23S ribosomal RNA intergenic spacer". The record is from RNAcentral. Lineage: Bacteria; Bacillati; Bacillota.